Molecule: long non-coding RNA, 6161 nt
Filed under: Sus scrofa (pig)
Lineage: Eukaryota; Metazoa; Chordata; Mammalia; Artiodactyla; Suidae
Description: lncRNA (ENSSSCG00035013035.1)
Source: RNAcentral
GUACACAUGGGAUGAGGGGAAAGGAUUCAACCCCAGAAAUUAGAAAUCUGAGAAGAGUAGAUAAAAUACCAGUAAGGAAAGGCUUCAUAAUUUUUCUAACAUGGCAGCCACUACUUUCUUCCUUAACUCUGCUAAACACCGUGGAAUUUUUGGACCUCUCUUUUCGGUACUUCAUAAAAUCGUGAUAUGGCCCCCAAAUCAACUAUAUGCCAAAUUUUUAAGCCUUCAUAAAACUAAAUAAAACGGUGCACUUGUAUGUUUUGAUGGCUGGCCAUUAUUAUGCUCAUUGACUACAAAGAUUAUAACAGAAGAAAAGUGAAAUUCUUUUGAAUGGUGUUUAAAACGGAAGUAUUUCAUAGGUAAGAAAAAGUCAUUUAACAUUACCUUUCAUAUCUUACCUGCUGAGAGCAUUGGAGAUCUAUUCUUUUCAAUCACAGCCCAGCAAGAUUAAGUGAUAACAUAAAAGCUCCUGGCCAGCAGCAAAUGUGGUAAAGGGAGUGGAACCCACGCACCAGGAGCACUGGCUCAGCUCUGAUCUCCAACCCCAAAGAGAGUGUCAUAAAGAUUCCCUCCCUGCACGAGCAACAAAAGCACAACCUAGCAGACGUCCACCUCAUUAGUCUAACCAUCUAUUAGUAUUUUGUUUGCUUUUACUUCAUUAGUCAUUUGAGAAAGGUGACGAAUUGGAAACUCUUCCACUGGAAGAACUAAUUCUUGUCCCGGAAAGGAAUCCUCAGGAUUAUCCAUCAACUGUUCACAUCGUUUAGCCUUAAAAAAAAGAGAUCAACUCAAACAAAUUAUUUGUUGAGGACUCCUGUGGGACAGCUCUAAGACUGAAGCAAAUAGGCCACUUAUUUGGACACUGGAUUGAGUCUCGUAGUCAAGUGAGCAAAGGAUAAAGAUUAUAUAUAUGAAGAAAACCAUAUCCAAGGCAUUAGGCUCAAGGGUCUAAAAUCAGAAGGAGAGAAAAGACUCACAGAUUUUCAAUGUGGUAUAAUGACCAUAAACCACAUGGUCAUGUGAGACAAGGGAUGAGAUUAUGUCUAUAAGUGGCAACUUAGUUUUUUACUUAGAAUCUUUUCUACGUGUGACAUCUUUUAGCCUUUGGUCUAAUUUUUCUCCAGGAUCCAGGGCUUGUUGGCUGAAGGUAAAUUUCCAGAGCAAAUAACCCUUUGAUGAGCAGACCGAACUUUCUUCUUAAGUACAGUCAACAUAAGUGGAGGCUGGCACCACUUUUCCAAUUCUUACGACAAUAUAAAGGCAUGACUAAGAUUGUACCUCUUCCCAGAGGAGCUGCACAGGAGUUUGGGAUCAUCAACAUGUUAAAUCUCCAGAGAAAUCGACAAUAUACGAUGAGAUCACUUGUGUGUAAUUAAACUAAAAAUAAAUUCUGUCUUACAUUGUAUGGAAAUGACUGCUGACUUUUUCCCCACACAUAACUACAGUCUGAGGGAAAGAAUCAGCUUAGCAGUUUGCUGAUGUUGAAAUUCAUUUAUCCUACUAAACACAAGAGCUAUUACUUCUUCCUCGACACAGUUUUAUUGGGGUAUACAUCUUAGUUUCUGCAUAUUCAGUUCUUUCAACAAAAACUGAAAAACGAAUGGGCCUGUGGUGUGUCAGUGGCAGUUACAGGCUCUGAGGACAUCACAAGGAAAUCGAAUAGAGAAGGCAACAUCUCUGCCCUCACAGAGCUCCCAGUUUAGUGGAUGGAUCUAUAAAUGUACCACCUACAUACAAAGGACAGCAAAGUUUUCCAUCAGUCUGCUUCCCUUCUUAGAUCUGACAAUGUCUGAAUAGUGUCAGGGUUCUAUACAAGUCACUCAGCAACUUUUAUUCUACAGAGUAUUAAACCACAGCCCAGAUCUAAAUUUUAGCAGACAUGCAUGAUAUUCUGCGGGUUGUUGUUGUUUUUUUUCCCUACAGUAGGGUGUCCUCCCUUGCAUAAGUUACCUUUAACAGAAAUAUUUUUUGUAGUUCCCAUCAUGGCUCAGCGGUUAACGAAGCUGACUAGGAACCAUGAGGUUCUGGGUUUGAUCCCUGGCCUCACUCAGUGGGUUAAGGAUCCAGCGUUGCCAUGAGCUGUGGGCAGGGACCGAACCCGCAACUUCAUGGUUCCUAGUUGGAUUCGUUAACCACUGGGCCACGACAGGAACUCCUAUUUAGCUUUUUGUUUUAACUAGAUAUUAAACACACGUAAAUGCUUGUUUGAAACUUGAAAAAUCCUGCAGGGAUCGUGGAAGUUGGUGCAGGAAAACACAGUAGAGCAACUGAACAAAUAUCUGUUGUGAGAUUUACCGUCUGCCCAGGGGACGCCUGAAAGCACUUCCUUAGCAAAGCUCUUCCUUCACCUAUGAGGUAAUAAUGACCAGGGAAUUGCCAAAGCCCUCAAGCCAAAGAGCAGGUGACAUCAACUUUAUCCUGAGCAAUUUAAAUCUAUCUGCGGUGCCAUGUUCCCCAGAAGGGGCCUAGACGAAAAACAAGAGUCAACUGUGUUUUCCUUUAUGGUUCUUUUCUACCCUUAGCAGCUGCCCCUCUAAAAAAAAAAGAUGAAACUUAAGCUUUGUCUAUGGAGAUUACUUUCACAGUUAGGAUUUUUUUAGUCCCAUUUAGUUGCUACUGUCUUAUCUCUGAGCCAGCUAUCUUUGUAGUAAAAUUCCUAAGCCCAACAGGUUUUGAAUUUCCAUCUGUUGUGUAAUAAAUUAAAUUAAUAUGUCAUAUGACUUAAAAAGGCUUUUGUCCUGGGUUCCUGGAAAGGAGCUUCCAAACUUGGAACUGCCUGAGGGAAAGGAGUAUCUUUGUUAUUUACUGUAGGUCCUCAGACUACACCUGAAUUUAGGCAAAUGAAGAACUCAAAGGGGGUCCCCAGCCAGUUUCAGGAGGGGGCCAGCAGUGCUAAAAAGAGCAACCCUGGGAUUAGAAGGGUGGGACUUUGAGUCUUGUGACAUCAGCCUGACCUCUGGAGAGAGAAAUGGGAUUAAGGAUUGAAUUCAACUAUUUAGCCAAUGAUUCAAUAAAUCAUGCCUAUGCAAUGAAACCCCAAUUAAAAACUUCGGAUACCAAGGCUCUGGUGAGGUUCCUGAUGGAGGAACAAAUUAAAGUCCCUGGAAGGCAUUGUCUCCUGAUUUUAAGGAGAGAGCAGUGGAAGAAGCUCUGUGUUCAAGACCCUUCCAGACCUUGUCCUAUCUGUCUCUUCAUUUGGCUGGUUCUGAUUUGUAUCAUUUAUAAUAAAACUGUAAACAUUAGUGCCUUCCUCAGUUCUGUGGGUCAUUUUAGAGAAUUAUCAAACCUGAGGGGGUUGUAGGAAACCCGAAUUUACUUAUAGUCAGCUGGUCAGAAGUGUAGGUGGCCUGAAGACACAUCCCCCUCCUCAAAACUUGUAGGUGUCACCUGAAGUGGGGGCAGUCUUGUAGGGGACUCUGCCCUCACCCUGUGGAAUCUCCAGGAGGCAGUUGCAAUAGAACACUGCUGUACCACAGUAACCACACAAUGGCCAUGUUUUAUUCAGCAAGAUAAAAUGUCAAGGAGUUCUCGUCAUGGCUCGGUGGUAACGAACCGAAUUAGUAACCAUGAGGACACAGGUUCGAUCACUGGCCUUGCUCAGUGGGUUAAGGAUCCAGCAUUGCUAUGAGCUGUAGUAUAGGUCACAGAUGCAGCUCGGAUCCCACGUUGCUGUGGCUGUGGCUAGGCUGGCGGCUACAGCUCUGAUUGGACCCUUAGCCUGGGAAUCUCCAUGUGCUAAAGGUGCGGCCCUAAAAAGACAAAAAUUGUGGAGAGAGGAUUAAGAUGGUGGAAUAGAAGGACUGGAACUCAACUGCUCUCCUAAAAACAACAAAAUUCACAACUAAAGGCUGAGCAAUCUCCACCCAAAUGGACCAGAAACCUUAAAAAAUAUACCCUACUCAGUAGAAAAAGAGGAGGCCACAUCAAGAGGUAGGAGGGGCAAUUUCGUGAUAUAAACAACCCCAUACAUCCAGGGUGGGAAGCUCCAGAGACUAAAAACCAACUGGUUCACAGAGACUCACCUAUAGGAGUGAAAGUUCUGAGCCCCACAUCAAACCCUCAUGUGCAGGGAUCCAGAACUGGGAGAAAGAGCCCCUGGAGCAUCUGGCAUUGAAGGCCAGUGGGGCUUGUGUGCAGGAGCUCCACAGGACUGGGGGAAAUGGAGACCCCAUUCUUAAAAGGUGCACACGGACUUUCACGUGCACUGGGUCCCAGGGCAGAGCAAAGGCUCCAUGGGAAUCUGGGUCAAACCUAACUGCAGUUCUUGGAGGACAUCCUGGGAAAACAGGGGUGAAUGUGGCUUGUUGUGAGGGAGGGACAUUGAAGGCAAAGCUCUAGGAAUAUUCAGCAGCUGCCUUUCUCUGGAGGUGGCCAUUUUCGGAAAAUCUGGCCCCACCCAUCAGUCAGUGCUGAGAAGCCCCAGGCCAAACAACAAUUCAGGUGGGAUCACAGCCCCACCCCUCAGUAAACAGGCUACCUAAAGACCCCUCAGGCACACAGCUGCCUCUAAUCCCAUCCAGAGACUAAGCCCCACCCACCAGAGGGGUUAGAAUCAGCUCCACCUACCAGGGGGCAGGCAUAAGCCCCUCCCAUCAGGAAGCCUACACCAAGCCCCCAUACUGACUUCAGCCACAAGGAGGGCAGACACCAGAAGUAAGAGAGGCUACAACUCUAUUCUCUGUAAAAAGGUCACCACACCAAAAACCUAUAAUGAUGAAAAGACAGAGAACUAUAACUCAGAUGAGGGAAAAAGGAAAAACCCAAGAAAAUCAGCUAAGCGAUGAGGAGAUUCUCAGGCUCCAGGAAAAAGACUUUAGACUGUUGAUGCUGAAGAUGAUGCAAGACAUUGGAAAUAAACUGGAGGCAAAGAUGCAUAACUUACAGGAAACACUGAGCAAAGAGAUACAAGAUAUCAAACUUAAACAAGAAGAGAUGCAAAAUACAAUAACUGAAAUAAAAAACUCACUAGAAGCAGCUAACAGCAGAAUACAGGAGGCAGAAGAACACUAAGCGAGGUGGAGGACAGAUUAGUGGAAAUUACGGAAGCAGAACAGAAAAGAGAAAAAAGAUUGAAAACAAAUGAAGAGAGUCUCAGAGAACUCUGGGACAACGUGAAACACAUCAACAUCCAUAUUAUAGGGGUGCCAGAAGGAGAAGAGAGAGAGAAGGGGACAGAAAAAAUAUUCCAAGAGAUAACAGCCGAAAACUUCCCUCACAUGGGAAAGGAACCACUCACUCAAAUCCAGGAAGCACAACGAGUACCAUAUAAAAUAAACCAAGGAGGAAUACACCGAGACACAUAUUAAUCAAACUGACCCAAAUGAAAGACAAAGAGAAAAUCUUGAAAGUAGCUAGGGGAAAGAAACAAGUAACAUACAAGGGAACCCCGAUAAGGUUAUCAGCAGAUUUUUCAGCAGAAACUCUGCAGGCCAGAAGGGAGUGGCACGAUAUACUUCACGUGAUGAAAGGAAAAAACCUCCAACCAAGAUUACUCUACCCAGCAAAGCUCUCACUUAGAUUUGAAGGAGACAUCAAAACCUUCUCAGAUAAGUAAAAGCUGAGAGAAUUCAGCAACACUAAACCAGCCUUAUAACAAAUACUAAAGGAACUUCUCUAGGCAGAAAAGAAAAGGCCGCAUCAGGGAACAAAAAUUCCACAAAUGACAAGGCUCACCAGUAAAGGUAUACAUACAGUAAAGAUAUGAAAUCAUCCACGCACAAUUAUACCACCAAAAUCAGGAAUCAUGAGAUGAGGUGGGUACAAAUGCAGGACACUGGAGAUGAACUUGCCAUUAAGAGUACAACAACUUAAAACAAUCUCAUAUACAUAUAGACUCUUAUAUCAAAACUUCAGAAUAACUGCAAACCAAAAAUCUACAAUUGAUACACAAACAAGGAAUCUCUUGAGAAGAAAUAUAUCUCAGAGUAAAUAAGUGCAUAAUCCACCGUGAAGGGGGGUCAUUUGACAUGAUUCUUGGAAUGCUGAAGUCUUCUUAGAUCUGAUUCUGAUUUCCUCUCCAUCAAAAAAUUUAUGAUAAUUAUAAUUAAAUGAUGCAACGGUACAAUUAAAUAAUACAGUUCUACAAUUGUAUUAUUAAUAACCAUUUCUCUCCAUGGUACAAUGUAAGGUCUAUAAUGUCUUGUUUAUCACAUCACCUAGAA